GAUGAAGAACGUAGCGAAAUGCGAUACGUAAUGUGAAUUGCAGAAUUCAGUGAAUCAUCGAGUCUUUGAACGCACAUUGCGCCCCCUGGUAUUCCGGGGGGCAUGCCUGUCCGAGCGUCAUUGCUGCCCUCAAGCACGGCUUGUGUGUUGGGCCUCCGUCCUCCUCCCGGGGGACGGGCCCGAAAGGCAGCGGCGGCACCGCGUCCGGUCCUCGAGCGUAUGGGGCUUCGUCACCCGCUCUCGUAGGCCCGGCCGGCGCUUGCCGACACAUCAAUCUUUUUUCCAGGUUGACCUCGGAUCAGGUAGGGAUACCCGCUGAACUUAAGCAUAUCAAUAAGCGGAGGA
This 345-nucleotide unclassified non-coding RNA is filed under the name soil metagenome. RNAcentral describes it as "partial contains 5.8S ribosomal RNA, internal transcribed spacer 2, and large subunit ribosomal RNA". The stretch from base 1 to 120 matches the Rfam family "5.8S ribosomal RNA", at positions 35 to 154 of the family's 154-position model. The record is from RNAcentral.